UUGGAGGGCAAGUCUGGUGCCAGCAGCCGCGGUAAUUCCAGCUCCAAUAGCGUAUAUUAAAGUUGUUGUGGUUAAAAAGCUCGUAGUAGAAGCUCGGGCUCCGGCCGACCGGUCCGCCUCACCGCGUGCACUGGUUCGGCCGGGCCUUCACCUUCUGCGGAACCGCAUCUCCUUCACUGGGGGUGUCGGGGAAACAGGACGUUUACUGUGAAAAAAUUAGAGUGCUCCAGGCAGGCCUAUGCUCGAAUAGAUUAGCAUGGAAUAAUGGAAUAGGACGUGUGGUCUUAUUUCGUUGGUUUCUAGGACCGCCGUAAUGAUUAAUAGGGACAGUCGGGGGCAUCAGUAUUCAAUCGUCAGAGGUGAAAUUCUUGGAUCGAUUGAAGACUAACUACUGCGAAAGCAUUUGCCAAGGAUGUUUUCAUUUAUCAGGAACGAAAGUUAGGGGAUCGAAGACGAUCAGAUACCGUCGUAGUCUUAACCAUAAACUAUGCCGACUAGGGAUCGGACGGUGUUAUUUCUUGACCCGUUCGGCGCCUUACGGGAAAC
Molecule: ribosomal RNA, 546 nt
Filed under: uncultured Ascomycota
Lineage: Eukaryota; Fungi; Ascomycota
Description: SSU rRNA
Rfam family: Eukaryotic small subunit ribosomal RNA
Source: RNAcentral